GAGGGUAGGGCUCAGUGGUAGAGCAUGUGCUUAGCAUGCGCAAGGUCCUGGGUUCAGUCCCCAGGACCUCCA
RNAcentral lists this transfer RNA (72 nucleotides) under Camelus bactrianus (Bactrian camel). It matches the Rfam family "tRNA". Rfam says of the family: Transfer RNA (tRNA) molecules are approximately 80 nucleotides in length. Their secondary structure includes four short double-helical elements and three loops (D, anti-codon, and T loops). Further hydrogen bonds mediate the characteristic L-shaped molecular structure. tRNAs have two regions of fundamental functional importance: the anti-codon, which is responsible for specific mRNA codon recognition, and the 3' end, to which the tRNAs corresponding amino acid is attached (by aminoacyl-tRNA synthetases). tRNAs cope with the degeneracy of the genetic code in two manners: having more than one tRNA (with a specific anti-codon) for a particular amino acid; and 'wobble' base-pairing, i.e. permitting non-standard base-pairing at the 3rd anti-codon position. RNAcentral also lists the same sequence under 2 other names. The record is from Rfam by way of RNAcentral. Lineage: Eukaryota; Metazoa; Chordata; Mammalia; Artiodactyla; Camelidae.